Molecule: long non-coding RNA, 702 nt
Filed under: Pan troglodytes (chimpanzee)
Lineage: Eukaryota; Metazoa; Chordata; Mammalia; Primates; Hominidae
Description: long non-coding RNA NONPTRT002806
Source: RNAcentral
UUGACUGAAUGAUUUGGGCUAAUCACUUGGAUUUUCUGUCCUUCAGGAGGAUCAAUAAAAAUGGAGAGACAGGCUGGGCAUGGUGGCUCAUGCCUGUAAUCCCAGCACUUUGCAUGGCCAAUGUGGAAGGAUUGCUUGAGGCCAGGAGGUCAAGACCAGCCUGGGAAACAUAGGGAGAUCCUGUCUCAGGAAUAGAUAAAAUAAAAUAUAUAAAUGGAGAAACAUGCCAACAUGGUUUUUGUGAAUAUUACAUAUGAUAAUACAGGUGAAAAUGCUUUGAAAAAAAAAUUUCUUCCUCAUAUACAUGGUGGUAAUCUUGCAAUUACAGAAAAGCACCAGCAGCCAAUAAAAUGUUCCAGAUUGAGCAAUAAGCUUAUAACAUUGAUAAAAGUAAAUGAAAUGCCUCUUGUCCAUCUCUUCACUAUAGAGUCAUGCAGGGCACAGCAUGCUCACUUGCUUUACAGGUGUCAAAUUAAAAGGAAGAAGCUGAAGCAAAUUUAAUAUAAGUAGAGAGUGUAUUUGAGCCAAGCUUGAGGAUUGCAGCUCAGGAACAUAGAUUCAAGUUGCCCUGAAAUACACUUCAAUCAGCAGCAGUUACAUGUGGAUAAGCUGUUAAUUGUCUAUUCAUUGUUCUUUGUAUCACAAAUUCCAAGAAUAUGAAGAUAAUGGGUGAGACAGCUAGUCAGGAACAAAAUGAGUUGA